Molecule: ribosomal RNA, 465 nt
Filed under: Vreelandella stevensii
Lineage: Bacteria; Pseudomonadati; Pseudomonadota; Gammaproteobacteria; Oceanospirillales; Halomonadaceae
Description: partial 16S ribosomal RNA
Rfam family: Bacterial small subunit ribosomal RNA
Source: RNAcentral
CCUACGGGUGGCAGCAGUGGGGAAUAUUGGACAAUGGGGGCAACCCUGAUCCAGCCAUGCCGCGUGUGUGAAGAAGGCCCUCGGGUUGUAAAGCACUUUCAGUGAGGAAGAACGCCUGGUGGUUAAUACCCAUCAGGAAAGACAUCACUCACAGAAGAAGCACCGGCUAACUCCGUGCCAGCAGCCGCGGUAAUACGGAGGGUGCGAGCGUUAAUCGGAAUUACUGGGCGUAAAGCGCGCGUAGGUGGCUUGAUAAGCCGGUUGUGAAAGCCCCGGGCUCAACCUGGGAACGGCAUCCGGAACGGUCGAGAGAGAGGGCAGGGGGGGAAGGUAGAAUUCCCGGGGAAGCGGUGUAGUGAGUAGAGAGCGGGAGGAAUAACGGUGGCGAAGGAGGCCUUCUGGAGUGACAAUGACAGUGGGGUGCGAACGCUUGGGUAGCAAACAGGAUCAGAUACCAGUGUAGUC